UACGGGGGGGGCAAGCGUUGUUCGGAAUUACUGGGCGUAAAGGGCUCGUAGGCGGCCAACUAAGUCAGACGUGAAAUCCCUCGGCUUAACCGGGGAACUGCGUCUGAUACUGGAUGGCUAGAGUGUGGGAGAGGGAUGCGGAAUUCCAGGUGUAGCGGUGAAAUGCGUAGAUAUCGGAAGGAACACCAGUGGCGAAAGCGGCUUCCUGGUCCAGCACCGACGUUCAGGCACGAAAGCGUGGGGAGCAAACAGG
Molecule: ribosomal RNA, 253 nt
Filed under: uncultured bacterium
Lineage: Bacteria
Description: partial 16S ribosomal RNA
Rfam family: Bacterial small subunit ribosomal RNA
Source: RNAcentral